RNAcentral lists this ribosomal RNA (466 nucleotides) under uncultured bacterium. Its description in RNAcentral is "partial 16S ribosomal RNA". It matches the Rfam family "Bacterial small subunit ribosomal RNA", at positions 28 to 507 of the family's 1533-position model. The record is from RNAcentral.
GGUGAACGCUGGCGGCGUGCUUAACACAUGCAAGUCGAACGGAAAGGCCCUAGCUUGCUUGUGUUCUCGAGUGGCGAACGCUUGCGUACCACGUGGAUGAUCUGCCCUGCACUUCGGUAUAAGCUUGCGUAACUGGGUCUACUCCCGUAUAGCACCCCAUUUUCGAUUGUGUGGUGGAGAUUUUAUCGGUGUGGGGUGUGCUGGCGGCCUAUCAGCUUGUUGGUGGGGUAAUGGCCUACCAAGGCGUCGACGGGUAACCGGACGUAGAGGGUGUACGGCGACAUUGGGACUGAGAGACGGCACAGACGCCUAAGGGAGGAAGAAGUGGGGAAGAUUGAACAAGGGGCGCAAGCCGGAUGCAGAGACGCCGCGGGGGGGAUGACGGCUUUCGGGUUGAAAAAUACUUGCGCGAGGGAAGAAGCGUGAUGUGACGGUACCUGGAGAAGAAGCACCGGCUAACUACGUG